This 624-nucleotide ribosomal RNA is filed under the name uncultured bacterium. Its description in RNAcentral is "bacterial SSU rRNA". It matches the Rfam family "Bacterial small subunit ribosomal RNA", at positions 113 to 754 of the family's 1533-position model. The record is from RNAcentral.
ACGCGUGAGUAACCUGCCCUUCAGAGGGGGAUAGCGUUUGGAAACGAACGGUAAUACCGCAUAAUGUAUUUUGACCGCAUGAUCGAAAUACCAAAGAUUUAUCGCUGAAGGAUGGACUCGCGUCUGAUUAGGUAGUUGGUGGGGUAACGGCCUACCAAGCCGACGAUCAGUAGCCGGACUGAGAGGUUGAUCGGCCACAUUGGGACUGAGACACGGCCCAGACUCCUACGGGAGGCAGCAGUGGGGAAUAUUGCACAAUGGGCGCAAGCCUGAUGCAGCAACGCCGCGUGAAGGAAGACGGUUUUCGGAUUGUAAACUUCUGUUCUUAGUGAAGAAUAAUGACGGUAGCUAAGGAGCAAGCCACGGCUAACUACGUGCCAGCAGCCGCGGUAAUACGUAGGUGGCAAGCGUUGUCCGGAAUUACUGGGUGUAAAGGGAGCGCAGGCGGGUGAUCAAGUCAGCUGUGAAAACUACGGGCUUAACCCGUAGACUGCAGUUGAAACUGUUCAUCUUGAGUGAAGUAGAGGUUGGCGGAAUUCCGAGUGUAGCGGUGAAAUGCGUAGAUAUUCGGAGGAACACCGGUGGCGAAGGCGGCCAACUGGGCUUUAACUGACGCUGAGGCUC